Molecule: long non-coding RNA, 1203 nt
Filed under: Sinocyclocheilus anshuiensis
Lineage: Eukaryota; Metazoa; Chordata; Actinopteri; Cypriniformes; Cyprinidae
Description: lncRNA (ENSSANG00000037114.1)
Source: RNAcentral
CUCCCAGCGGCUGGAAUGUCGGGAGUGUUUUCACUGAGAAGAAACAACUUGGCAGGAGGAGAACACACACUGGUGAGCUUUCGGCUGCCAGUGCAGAAAGACAAGCACAUCGCUGGGUUCAAACAGGAGAGAGUAACACAGUCAUACAGGUUUAGAACAUGUUUGGAACAGGUUUGGACAUGAGGGUAAGUAAAUGAUGACACAAUGUUAAUUUUUUGUUGAAAUAUCCCUUUAAUAUUUUGUUGAGUUUUCAGGACAAACGUCUCUUGUGUAGUGGAGUCUUAUGGUAAUACUCUGUUCUCUUGCUGCCAUCUUUUGUCUGGUUCUAUAGCUUACUCAUGCUUUCUCCCUCUCAUCUUUCGUACUCACCCUCCCCACCAUCCUGUCUGCCAAAGGAGUUUUUCCAAGGAGAACUUUUAGGGAGGGGAUGAGGAGAAAGGGGUUUAUAGGAGCUGGAGUUGAGGGAGGGGGAGAGCGUUCUUAGUAUCUGACUUGUUAGUCCACAACUGUCCAAUUUGUUGAGGGUGGUGGGUUUGAUUAAAGCAGGGGUCCCUCCUGCUGCUCGCCCCUCCCAUCAAUCACAUUGAUAAGUCCCAGAAAGGCAACAUAUUGCCUGGGAGGAGGACGGGGAGGGAUAUCAAUUUCACUGUCGUGCUGUUCUCUCCCCACCCAAAACAUCUCGCACCGUUUUGGUAGAAGUGCAGACCACCAAGGAGGAGGUGAAGGGGAGAGAGGAUGUAGCAGUUCUGCUGGGGUUUGAAGGGGCAGCCAGGGCUCUGGGGAUUGGGAAGGGGGCAGGUUUGCAGUUAGAAAGGCUGGUCAGGGUCAGUCGAAGUUUGUUAAUGUCUUUUUCUUUUUUUCCCCCUUUUCAGGUUAAAUAUGGUAGGCUGUAAUACUGGACUUAUUUGUGCUGACGCUGUUUGCCGAACGCCGCAUGAGGCUAUACGGGCUUUCUUCCCCCAUUGUGCUGAAAUACAUAUGAACCGCUUCCCCUGUCUUGUUAGCAACAUCUAUGGCAUUAAACCAACUGUCAAUCAAUAGCUGUACAAAGGUGUGGAUGGCAGGCCAAGGUGAAGGUCAUGAUGACUGGCUCAGCUCUAAGGAGAGAAAUAAAUGCAUGUCCACAAUGUCAUAAUAGCUGUUUUUCUAAUGAACUUAAAUUACUUAGUCAACUUAGUCAUAAUCACCCUCCUUUACCAACAC